This 84-nucleotide transfer RNA is filed under the name Clostridiales bacterium. Its description in RNAcentral is "tRNA-Leu". It matches the Rfam family "tRNA". From Rfam's summary of the family: Transfer RNA (tRNA) molecules are approximately 80 nucleotides in length. Their secondary structure includes four short double-helical elements and three loops (D, anti-codon, and T loops). The record is from RNAcentral. Lineage: Bacteria; Bacillati; Bacillota; Clostridia; Eubacteriales. RNAcentral also lists the same sequence under 2 other names.
GCGGACGUGGCGGAAUUGGCAGACGCGCCAGACUUAGGAUCUGGUAUCUUUGAUGUGGGAGUUCAAGUCUCUUCGUCCGCACCA